ACUCCUACGGGAGGCAGCAGUAGGGAAUCUUCCACAAUGGGCGCAAGCCUGAUGGAGCAACACCGCGUGAGUGAAGAAGGGUUUCGGCUCGUAAAGCUCUGUUGUUAAAGAAGAACACGUAUGAGAGUAACUGUUCAUACGUUGACGGUAUUUAACCAGAAAGUCACGGCUAACUACGUGCCAGCAGCCGCGGUAAUACGUAGGUGGCAAGCGUUAUCCGGAUUUAUUGGGCGUAAAGAGAGUGCAGGCGGUUUUCUAAGUCUGAUGUGAAAGCCUUCGGCUUAACCGGAGAAGUGCAUCGGAAACUGGAUAACUUGAGUGCGGGAGAGGGUAGUGGAACUCCAUGUGUAGCGGUGGAAUGCGUAGAUAUAUGGAAGAACACCAGUGGCGAAGGCGGCUACCUGGUCUGCAACUGACGCUGAGACUCGAAAGCAUGGGUAGCGAACAGGAUUAGAUACCCUGGUAGGAUAGCG
This 473-nucleotide ribosomal RNA is filed under the name uncultured bacterium. RNAcentral's name for it is "bacterial SSU rRNA". It matches the Rfam family "Bacterial small subunit ribosomal RNA", at positions 335 to 801 of the family's 1533-position model. The record is from RNAcentral.